RNAcentral lists this ribosomal RNA (687 nucleotides) under uncultured bacterium. RNAcentral's name for it is "bacterial SSU rRNA". It matches the Rfam family "Bacterial small subunit ribosomal RNA", at positions 97 to 803 of the family's 1533-position model. The record is from RNAcentral.
GGCGCACGGGUGAGUAAUAUAUAGCUAACUUGCCUCUUACUAAGGGAUAAUUGCUGGAAACGGCUUGUAAUACCUUAUAUGCCUUUUGAACAGAAGUUCGUAAAGGGAAAGAUUUAUCGGUAAGAGAUAGGGCCGUACAGUAUCAGUUAGUUGGUGGGGUAAUGGCUUACCAAGACAAUGACACUUAACUGGUUUGAGAGGAUGAUCAGUCACACUGGAACUGAGACACGGUCCAGACUCCUACGGGAGGCAGCAGUGGGGAAUAUUGCACAAUGGAGGAAACUCUGAUGCAGCAACGCCGCGUGGAGGAUGACACAUUUCGGUGCGUAAACUCCUUUUAUAUAAGAAGAUAAUGACGGUAUUAUAUGAAUAAGCACCGGCUAACUCCGUGCCAGCAGCCGCGGUAAUACGGGGGGUGCAAGCGUUACUCGGAAUCACUGGGCGUAAAGAGCAUGUAGGCGGAUAGAUAAGUUGGAAGUGAAAUCCACUGGCUUAACCAGUGAACUGCUUCCAAAACUGUCUAUCUAGAAUAUGGGAGAGGUAGAUGGAAUUUCUGGUGUAGGGGUAAAAUCCGUAGAGAUCAGAAGGAAUACCGAUUGCGAAGGCGAUCUACUGGAACAUUAUUGACGCUCAGAUGCGAAAGCGUGGGGAGCAAACAGGAUUAGAUACCCUGGUAGUCCACGCCCU